GCCCGCUUAGCUCAGCUGGAAGAGCACAUCCAUGGUAAGGAUGGGGUCAGCAGUUCGAAUCUGCUAGCGGGCUCCA
Molecule: transfer RNA, 76 nt
Filed under: Actinomycetes bacterium
Lineage: Bacteria; Bacillati; Actinomycetota; Actinomycetes
Description: Actinobacteria bacterium tRNA-Thr
Rfam family: tRNA
About the family: Transfer RNA (tRNA) molecules are approximately 80 nucleotides in length.
Source: RNAcentral